Molecule: ribosomal RNA, 301 nt
Filed under: uncultured bacterium
Lineage: Bacteria
Description: partial 16S ribosomal RNA
Rfam family: Bacterial small subunit ribosomal RNA
Source: RNAcentral
CAGUCGCCGCGGUAAUACAGAGGGUGCAAGCGUUAAUCGGAAUUACUGGGCGUAAAGCGCGCGUAGGUGGUUUGUUAAGUUGGAUGUGAAAUCCCCGGGCUCAACCUGGGAACUGCAUCCAAAACUGGCAAGCUAGAGUAUUGUAGAGGGUGGUGGAAUUUCCUGUGUAGCGGUGAAAUGCGUAGAUAUAGGAAGGAACACCAGUGGCGAAGGCGACCACCUGGACUGAUACUGACACUGAGGUGCGAAAGCGUGGGGAGCAAACAGGAUUAGAUACCCCGGUAGUCCCUGUCUCUUAUAC